AUGGUGUACGUCAUCUCUUCUUGAGUGGUAUAACACCUCAGCAGGUGCUAUUGCAGCUCUUUCUCGCAUGGAUAGCUGUAGUUGUGCCUGGGGGUCUAUUUGUUGUUCCAGAAUUUGUGUAUUUGUGUCUGAAUUUCUGAAAAUAAGCUGUCCCAGUCGCCUUCUGGCGUUGAAUAUCCUCCUCUGAUUUCUUCUGUAGCUCCGGAGUUC
RNAcentral lists this long non-coding RNA (210 nucleotides) under Musa acuminata (dwarf banana). RNAcentral describes it as "long non-coding RNA (MACU_LNC009032)". Lineage: Eukaryota; Viridiplantae; Streptophyta; Magnoliopsida; Zingiberales; Musaceae. The record is from RNAcentral.